Molecule: ribosomal RNA, 447 nt
Filed under: uncultured bacterium
Lineage: Bacteria
Description: partial 16S ribosomal RNA
Rfam family: Bacterial small subunit ribosomal RNA
Source: RNAcentral
UGGGGAAUAUUGCACAAUGGGCGAAAGCCUGAUGCAGCAACGCCGCGUGAGUGAUGAAGGUCUUCGGAUUGUAAAGCUCUGUCUUUUGGGACGAUAAUGACGGUACCAAAGGAGGAAGCCACGGCUAACUACGUGCCAGCAGCCGCGGUAAUACGUAGGUGGCGAGCGUUGUCCGGAUUUACUGGGCGUAAAGGGUGCGUAGGCGGAUGUUUAAGUGAGAUGUGAAAUACCCGGGCUUAACUUGGGUGCUGCAUUUCAAACUGGAUAUCUAGAGUGCAGGAGAGGAGAAUGGAAUUCCUAGUGUAGCGGUGAAAUGCGUAGAGAUUAGGAAGAACACCAGUGGCGAAGGCGAUUCUCUGGACUGUAACUGACGCUGAGGCACGAAAGCGUGGGUAGCAAACAGGAUUAGAUACCCUGGUAGUCCACGCCGUAAACGAUGAGUACUAG